CUGAGGAUCGAACCCAGGUCCCGCCUGUGUUAGGCGAGCGCUCUACCGCUGAGCCACAAUCCCAGUCCCCAGCCUUUGCUUUGCUUUUAUUUGUAUUCAACACGAAGCAAGUUUGAAAUGUUCUGUAUUUUAUAAUAAUCAUGCAGCUUCCAAAGUAUCAAGGUUAAGAAAUAAAAGUCACUGCAGAAAUUAUUAGGACAGUGUCAGAAAAAAAUGAAUAAUUUCAAAUUACAUGGUUAAUAACAUGUUUAUUGAAGAUACCGUAUAUCUUUACCAGAAACCAGAAUAUAUUCUCUUUUCAAAGUUACCUCCACUCUUCUUUUCAGUUUAUUUGUUCAUUAUUGAUAAAAGUGAUUUCACAGUGUGCUAUAAAUUAUAAAAUGCUGUUGGGUUUAAUAGUCUUACAAAGUUUUAUUUGGUUACUUGGACGAUUUUUAGACUGCUUUGUAUUUAGCAUUGCAGGUUAUAUUUCUUUCUCUCUUUUCUCCUUUUAAAAGUAUUUUAUAUGUAGGCCACUUCCGGAAUGUUAUACAGGUUCGGAUCCCUUAUUUGAAAUGCUUGGGACUCAAAAAGUGCUUUGGAUUUCAGAUUUUUUUGUAUUUUAGAAUAGUUGCAAAUAC
Molecule: long non-coding RNA, 620 nt
Filed under: Marmota monax (woodchuck)
Lineage: Eukaryota; Metazoa; Chordata; Mammalia; Rodentia; Sciuridae
Source: RNAcentral